RNAcentral lists this ribosomal RNA (465 nucleotides) under uncultured bacterium. RNAcentral describes it as "partial 16S ribosomal RNA". It matches the Rfam family "Bacterial small subunit ribosomal RNA", at positions 28 to 507 of the family's 1533-position model. The record is from RNAcentral.
GACGAACGCUGGCGGCGUGCUUAACACAUGCAAGUCGAACGGUAAGGCCCCUUCGGGGGUACACGAGUGGCGAACGGGUGAGUAACACGUGAGCAACCUGCCCUUGACUCUGGAAUAACAGUUGGAAACAGCUGCUAAUACUGGAUAUUCAUCGUCUCCUUCCUGGGGGGUGGUGGAAAGCUCCGGCGGUCAGGGAUGGGCUCGCGGCCUAUCAGCUUGUUGGUGAGGUAAUGGCUCACCAAGGCUUCGACGGGUAGCCGGCCUGAGAGGGCGACCGGCCACACUGGGACUGAGAUACGGCCCAGACUCCUACGGGAGGCAGCAGUGGGGAAUAUUGCACAGUGGGCGCAAGCCUGAUGCAGCAACGCCGCGUGCGGGAUGACGGCCUUCGGGUUGUAAACCGCUUUCAGUAGGGACGAAGGGUGACUGACGGUACCUACAGAAGAAGGACCGGCUAACUACGUG